This 515-nucleotide ribosomal RNA is filed under the name uncultured bacterium. RNAcentral describes it as "partial 16S ribosomal RNA". It matches the Rfam family "Bacterial small subunit ribosomal RNA", at positions 28 to 523 of the family's 1533-position model. The record is from RNAcentral.
GAUGAACGCUGGCGGCGUGCCUAAUACAUGCAAGUCGAGCGAAUGGAUUAAGAGCUUGCUCUUAUGAAGUUAGCGGCGGACGGGUGAGUAACACGUGAGUAACCUGCCCAUAAGACUGGGAUAACUCCGGGAAACCGGGGCUAGUACCGGAUAACAUUUUGAACCGCAUGGUUCGAAAUUGAAAGGCGGCUUCGGCUGUCACUUUUGGAUGGACCCGCGUCGCAUUAGCUAGUGGGUGAGGUAACGGCUCACCAAGGCAACGAUGCGGAGCCGACCUGAGAGGGUGAUCGGCCACACUGGGACUGGGACACGGCCCAGACUCCUACGGGAGGCAGCAGUAGGGAAUCUUCCGCAAUGGACGAAAGUCUGACGGAGCAACGCCGCGUGAGUGAUGAAGGCUUUCGGGUCGUAAAACUCUGUUGUUAGGGAAGAACAAGUGCUAGUUGAAUAAGCUGGCACCUUGACGGUACCUAACCAGAAAGCCACGGCUAACUACAUGCCAGCCGCCGCCGUAA